GACGAACGCUGGCGGCGUGCUUAACACAUGCAAGUCGAACGCUGAAGCUCAGCUUGCUGGGUGGAUGAGUGGCGAACGGGUGAGUAACACGUGAGUAACCUGCCCUCUUCUUUGGGAUAACGCCCGGAAACGGGUGCUAAUACUGGAUAUUCACUGAUUCUCGCAUGGGGGUUGGUGGAAAGGUUUCUUCUGGUGGGGGAUGGGCUCGCGGGCUAUCAGCUUGUUGGUGGGGUGAUGGCCUACCAAGGCUUUGACGGGUAGCCGGCCUGAGUGGGUGACCGGUCACAGUGGGACUGAGAUACGGGACAGACUUCUACGGGAGGCAGCAGUGGGGAAUAUUGCACGAUGAGCGAGAGCCUGGUGCAGCGACGCGGCGUGAGGGAUGGAGGCCUUGGGGGUGUAAACCUCUGUCGCUCAUGGUCAAGCCGCAGCUUUGGGUUGUGGUGAGGGUAGUGGGUAAAGAAGCGCCGGCUAACUACGUG
This 482-nucleotide ribosomal RNA is filed under the name uncultured bacterium. RNAcentral's name for it is "partial 16S ribosomal RNA". It matches the Rfam family "Bacterial small subunit ribosomal RNA", at positions 28 to 507 of the family's 1533-position model. The record is from RNAcentral.